AUCCGGCUGAUGAGUCCCAGAUAGGACAAAACACACGUCCUGGAC
RNAcentral lists this non-coding RNA (45 nucleotides) under Schistosoma haematobium. The record is from RNAcentral. Lineage: Eukaryota; Metazoa; Platyhelminthes; Trematoda; Strigeidida; Schistosomatidae.